Long non-coding RNA from Triplophysa dalaica, 561 nucleotides. RefSeq lists it as uncharacterized. Lineage: Eukaryota; Metazoa; Chordata; Actinopteri; Cypriniformes; Nemacheilidae. The transcript has 5 exons. The record is from RefSeq and is a predicted model, not a curated record.
UUAUAAAUAGCAGAACCAAAGCCUCGACGUUCUCUCUGCAACAGAAGUCGUUGAACUGGGAAGUCAUUGCUAUGGAGACGUCAUCAAAAUGUAAUCCGAGCAUAAGCAUUCUAUGCCAUGGUGCGCGCGCAGUGACGCGUGGGCUUGGAUGACUAGAGGCAGCGCGCACGUGUGGUUUCGCUUGAUGUUCGGGCGUGUUCAACAUGCUCUGCGCGAAAAAGCGCAUGGAUUUUUGUGACCGGAGCCAGCACGCAUGCGUGUGGUUGGAAACGACUGUGCCUUGGGCAUCGAUCAAGUGAAAUGCUGAUUUCACAAAAUGUGGGAACUUUGGUAAGUUCCUGGCUGCCAAAGUAAUGUGGUUGAAUGAGAUGUGAGAAGUCUUCCUCCAGCCGUCUCAUUGGGUGGCUACAAGUUGGAAUUAAAAGCUCCUUCAGUAACUUCCUACAUUGUUGCUGUUGUUGACUGUACUACACAUUAGUGAAUUAAUGCUUUCUUCAGAACUAAAUUUUCCCAAUUUAGUAACAUUGUAUCUAUUCAAUAAAAUAAACGGUUGGUACAGAA